Triplophysa rosa is the source of this 1950-nucleotide long non-coding RNA. RefSeq lists it as uncharacterized. The record is from RefSeq and is a predicted model, not a curated record. Lineage: Eukaryota; Metazoa; Chordata; Actinopteri; Cypriniformes; Nemacheilidae. The transcript has 3 exons.
UCCACCAUCUGUGUAUUCAAUUAUCAAAGCAAAAAAUCCAACCACAGACAUUCAAGGAGGAAGAAACAGAAACAAACACGCACGUAUCUCUCCAAUCCACAAUAACCAAGAGGUGCGUCUCAUCAUGCCAUACACAAACUAGCACAUUAAUCACAAAAUGUUUUGGAUCAUUGGAAAUUCAUUCGUCCUCGUCAACCCCAUUAUUCCCGAGCAAAGCAUCGACGCUCAACUCAUCCAGAUGGAGUGAGUGAUGGUGGAAUUUGUAAGUGUUAAGCGUCCGGGCGAAAAGGGAGGCGGGGCAGUGCGGGUCCAGGAGACUCGUCCACCGAAAAUAAACCUGCAUGAAGGGGAAAACGAGCGAGAGAGACAGACAGAGGGAGGAGGAGGAAGAAGAAGGGAAAGAGCUCGUAAGAGUGCAGGGGGAAAUACGGGAGAGAGAGAGAGAGAGAGAGAGAGAGAAAGAGGGGAGUGCCUGCGUUUGCAGUGGAUUAAAAACUGCGCAAUUUCCAGACUCGCAUCUCUAACACGCUAAAAUGAAACUCAUGAGUGGACACGAGAGACUCACGCCGUGGCACCGUUUUUGCCACGCAAAACGGCAUCAUAUAACGAAACCGGAGAGAAGUCGUGAGAUUUAUGCGUGCUUUCUUGGAGAAAGCUCGGAAACAAUUUUGCGCGCUGAUGUUUGUCAAAUCAUCUCCUCUUACAGUGGUUUCGUAACGCAACUGCGUGCAGAAUCCACAUUCACGCCGAUAUAAUACAACGUGCGUUUAGAAAUGGCAGGUUUAUGAUAUUACAGGAGGUACAGAUGGAUCGCGUUGUGCGGCGUCCAUUCACUGCGCGAGAGGAGCGAAACUGCGUAGUUGCUUAUUUAGGUUGUAUUUUUACAAUGAGGACAUGCGAGAUGAAGCCACCUCCCAGUUUGACCCUCCGUUCAUUAGCAGAUUUAGUUUUUUCACUAUGGCUGAGAUUUGGUUGGCCAACAUGACGUCAUUGUCACUCAGGAUUGUGAGGCUCACAUGUGUCAUGAAAUGCCUCAGUGCUUACACCUAGCCAGUGGAAGAGGAAGAUCAAGGCAGAUUUUUCAAAGUGGGUCAAUGGGGUGGAUGGAUGCUGCCUGCACAAACCGAGUGGCUGGAGUGGAGAGACAGAGGUUACGACAGCGAGCAGGAUGCAGUUCAUGGCCUGACCUGAUGGUAGAGCGGAGAAUGGGAAGCGGAGACCUGACAAGAGCUGAGACAAUAGAGCUGGAUAAAGAAGGAUGCGGUCACCUGACACGUCUUCACCACAAAAUUUCAAAUGCUAUUAGAUUAUUAAAGUAUAAUCUUAAACUAUAAUUUACCUUAUUAGUAAGUUUAUUUAUUUUAUUUAGCCCUGUUGUGCAAGCUCUCUGGAGCUUGUGCAGAGGCAGCAGCUUUUGCCAGAGGGGAACUGGAAUCCCCUGGUUGGGCCUGGGUUCUCCUGAGGUUUUUUUUCUCAAUUAGAGUUGUGGGUUCCUCGCCACCGUUUGCAUACUGUUUUUUGCACUGGCCAGGGGGCUGCUUUAGAAUUUUAAAGUUUUACUUAAUUAAUAUUGCAUAUAGGAAUUUAUAGUCUGUUAUAUUUGACCUGUGCUUCUCUCCCCUUUAUCUUAAAUGUGUGCUCUCACUGAGCAUGUGUGUGCGUUCGUGUCUGUGUGUGUGCGUGCGUGUCUGUGUGUGUGUGCGUACUUGUCUGUGUACGUGUGUGUGUGCGUGCGUGCACGUCCGUGUGUGUGUGUUUAUGUCUAUGUGUGUUAGUACGUGUGCAUAUUGUGUGUGUGGAAUGUUUUGUAUGUGGGUAUGUCUGUCUUCUGUGUUCCCUUUCUGUCGGUCUCUCGAUGUUGUGUCGAGCCAACAGAUGGGGUUCGUCCCUGAAAACCAGUCGCUUCCGACUUCUUAGAAAAGGCCAAUGAAAUUGGCGAAUGAAAUUUGC